Non-coding RNA from Ornithorhynchus anatinus (platypus), 135 nucleotides. NCBI's taxonomy places the organism in Eukaryota, Metazoa, Chordata, Mammalia, Monotremata, Ornithorhynchidae. The record is from Rfam.
CCUCUCUCAGGGUCUCACCUGGAGAGUUUCCAGUCCUCUACCAGGCUCGGCUACAGGAGGGAGAGUCAAGCAGAAUACCCAUUCCAUUCCUAGCUUGGGCAGUGGCUAGCGCAUGGAAGGCAAUCUGCUACAAGU